AUUGAACGCUGGCGGCAGGCCUAACACAUGCAAGUCGAACGAGUGGCGGACGGGUGAGUAAUGUCUGGGAAACUGCCUGAUGGAGGGGGAUAACUACUGGAACCGGUAGCUAAUCCCGCAUACCAUCAGAUGUGCCCAGAGGGGAUUAGCUUGGUGGUGGGGUAACGGCUAACAAAUGCGACGAUCCCUAGCUGGUCUGAGAGGCUGACCGGCAACACUGGAACUGAGACACGGUCAAGAAUCCUACGGGAGGCAGCAGUGGGGAAUAUUGGACAAUGGGAGCAAGCCUGAUGCAGCAAUGCCGCGUGUAUGAAGAAGGCCUUCGGGUUGUAAAGUACUUUCAGCGGGGAGGAGUUACCCGCAGAAGAAGCACCGGCUAACUCCGGGCAAGCCGCCGAGGUAAUAC
RNAcentral lists this ribosomal RNA (406 nucleotides) under uncultured bacterium. Its description in RNAcentral is "partial 16S ribosomal RNA". It matches the Rfam family "Bacterial small subunit ribosomal RNA", at positions 30 to 526 of the family's 1533-position model. The record is from RNAcentral.